This 56-nucleotide microRNA precursor is filed under the name Heliconius melpomene (postman butterfly). RNAcentral's name for it is "Hme-Mir-92-P3_pre stem-loop". Lineage: Eukaryota; Metazoa; Arthropoda; Insecta; Lepidoptera; Nymphalidae. The record is from RNAcentral.
GGGCGGUGAUUGGCGCUAUAUUAUGUGUGUACAAUAUUGCACCAGUCCCGGCCUAU